UACAGAGGGUGCGAGCGUUGUCCGGAAUCACUGGGCGUAAAGGGCGCGUAGGCGGCCUGAUAAGUAGGGGGUGAAAUCCUGUGGCUUAACUGCAGGGCUGCCUCCUAGACUGUUAGGCUCGAGCACGGUAGAGGCAGAUGGAAUUCCCGGUGUAGCGGUGAAAUGCGCAGAUAUCAGGAAGAACACCCGUGGCGAAGGCGGCUCUCUGGGACGGUACUGACGCUGAGACGCGAAAGCGUGGGGAGCGAACAGG
This 253-nucleotide ribosomal RNA is filed under the name uncultured bacterium. RNAcentral's name for it is "partial 16S ribosomal RNA". It matches the Rfam family "Bacterial small subunit ribosomal RNA", at positions 524 to 776 of the family's 1533-position model. The record is from RNAcentral.